GAUUAACGCUGGCGGCAUGCCUAAUACAUGCAAGUCGAACGGAAGCAGCAAUGCUUUAGUGGCGAACGGGUGAGUAACACGUAGGGAACCUACCUAUACGACGAGGAUAACUACUGGAAACGGUAGCUAAAACUGGAUAGGAUCAAUUGAGGCAUCUUGAUUGAUUUAAAGAUCCUUCGGGAUUACGUAGAGAUGGCCCUGCGGCGCAUUAGCUAGUUGGUGAGGUAACGGCCCACCAAGGCGACGAUGCGUAGCUGAGCUGAGAGGCUAAACAGCCACACUGGGACUGAGACACGGCCCAGACUCCUACGGGAGGCAGCAGUAGGGAAUUUUCGGCAAUGGGGGAAACCCUGACCGAGCAAUGCCGCGUGAACGAUGAAGGUCUUCGGAUUGUAAAGUUCUGUGAUUGGGGAAGAAUGGUAUUCUUAGGGAAUGAGGAGUACAUGACGGUACCCGAUUAGAAAG
Molecule: ribosomal RNA, 465 nt
Filed under: uncultured bacterium
Lineage: Bacteria
Description: bacterial SSU rRNA
Rfam family: Bacterial small subunit ribosomal RNA
Source: RNAcentral